AGAGUUUGAUCAUGGCUCAGGAUGACGCUAGCGGCAGGCUUAAUACAUGCAAGUCGAGGGGCAGCAGGGGUGUAGCAAUACACUCGCUGGCGACCGGCAAACGGGUGCGGAACACGUACGCAACUUACCCAUACUGGGGGAUAGCCCGGGGAAACCCGGAUUAAUACCUCGUAACAUCACCAGGUGGCAUCACUUGAUGAUUAUAGCUCCGGCGGUUAUGGAUGGGCGUGCGGCUGAUUAGGUAGUUGGCGGGGUAACGGCCCACCAAGCCUACGAUCAGUAACUGGUGUGAGAGCACGACCAGUCACACGGGCACUGAGACACGGGCCCGACUCCUACCGGAGGCAGCAGUAAGGAAUAUUGGUCAAUGGACGCAAGUCUGAACCAGCCAUGCCGCGUGAAGGAUGAAGGUCCUCUGGAUUGUAAACUUCUUUUAUAUGGGACGAAACCUGGGUAUUCCUACCCAAUUGACGG
Molecule: ribosomal RNA, 474 nt
Filed under: uncultured bacterium
Lineage: Bacteria
Description: bacterial SSU rRNA
Rfam family: Bacterial small subunit ribosomal RNA
Source: RNAcentral